RNAcentral lists this ribosomal RNA (510 nucleotides) under Pseudomonas sp. LMR32. RNAcentral's name for it is "bacterial SSU rRNA". It matches the Rfam family "Bacterial small subunit ribosomal RNA", at positions 168 to 673 of the family's 1533-position model. The record is from RNAcentral. Lineage: Bacteria; Pseudomonadati; Pseudomonadota; Gammaproteobacteria; Pseudomonadales; Pseudomonadaceae.
ACCGCAUACGUCCUACGGGAGAAAGCAGGGGACCUUCGGGCCUUGCGCUAUCAGAUGAGCCUAGGUCGGAUUAGCUAGUUGGUGAGGUAAUGGCUCACCAAGGCGACGAUCCGUAACUGGUCUGAGAGGAUGAUCAGUCACACUGGAACUGAGACACGGUCCAGACUCCUACGGGAGGCAGCAGUGGGGAAUAUUGGACAAUGGGCGAAAGCCUGAUCCAGCCAUGCCGCGUGUGUGAAGAAGGUCUUCGGAUUGUAAAGCACUUUAAGUUGGGAGGAAGGGCAGUUACCUAAUACGUAAUUGUUUUGACGUUACCGACAGAAUAAGCACCGGCUAACUCUGUGCCAGCAGCCGCGGUAAUACAGAGGGUGCAAGCGUUAAUCGGAAUUACUGGGCGUAAAGCGCGCGUAGGUGGUUCGUUAAGUUGGAUGUGAAAUCCCCGGGCUCAACCUGGGAACUGCAUUCAAAACUGUCGAGCUAGAGUAUGGUAGAGGGUGGUGGAAUUUCCUG